CUGGAUGAGUGGCGAACGGGUGAGUAACACGUGAGUAGCCUGCCCUCUUCUUUGGGAUAACGGUCGGAAACGGCUGCUAAUACCGGGUAUUCACUGUCCUUCGCAUGGGGGGUGGGUGGAAAGGUUUUUUCUGGUGGGGGAUGGGCUCGCGGCCUAUCAGCUUGUUGGUGGGGUGAUGGCUUACCAAGGCUUUGACGGGUAACCGGCCUGAGAGGGUGACCGGUCACAUUGGGACUGAGAUACGGCCCAG
Molecule: ribosomal RNA, 250 nt
Filed under: uncultured bacterium
Lineage: Bacteria
Description: partial 16S ribosomal RNA
Rfam family: Bacterial small subunit ribosomal RNA
Source: RNAcentral